This 650-nucleotide ribosomal RNA is filed under the name uncultured beta proteobacterium. Its description in RNAcentral is "bacterial SSU rRNA". It matches the Rfam family "Bacterial small subunit ribosomal RNA", at positions 33 to 627 of the family's 1533-position model. Lineage: Bacteria; Pseudomonadati; Pseudomonadota; Betaproteobacteria. The record is from RNAcentral.
ACCCUGGCGGAAUGCUUACACAUGCAGUCGAACGGCAGACACCGACUUCGCGUCUGGUGGCGAGUGGCGAACGGGUGAGUAAUUGCAUCGUGAACGUGCCCAAUCGUGGUGCGUGAUAACGUAUCGAAAGUUACUGCUAAUACCUGCCUACAGAUCUAACGCGAUGAAGAGCGUGCGGAUCGCAUGACCUCGCUGCGAAGUGGAGCGAGUCCAGACUGCUUAGAUUAAGUGCUAGUUAGGUGGGGUAAAGUGCUCACCAAGCCGAGCGAUCUAUAGCUAGGUCUGACAGGAUGAUCAGCCACACUGGGAGCUGAGACACCGCCCACCACUCCUACGGGAGGCAGCACUGGGGAAUUCUGGACAAUGGGCGAACAGCCUGAUCCAUGCCAUUCCGCGUGCAUGAUGAAUGGCCCUCGUGUGCUUGUAAACUGCUUUCUGUACGGAACGAAAGAAGUCGUUAUAUUUAAUAAAGCAAGGCUUAUGACGCGUACCGUAAGCAAUAAUGCACCGGCUAACUACUGUGUCCAGUCAGCCGCGGUAAUACGUAGGGUGCAAGCGUUCAAUCGGAAUUACUGGGCGUAAAGCGUGCGUCAUGGCGGUGAUGUAACGACAGAGGUGAAAUCCCCGUGGCUCAACCUGGGAACUGCCUU